GACUUGUACUUGUAUGGCUCCUUAGGAGGAGGGGGAGACUUGUAAACUGGAGGAGGUGGAGGCGGAGACUUAUACUUGUAUGGCUCCUUGGGAGGAGGAGGUGGAGACUUGUACUUGUAAACUGGAGGAGGUGGAGGCGGAGACUUGUACUUGUAUGGCUCCUUAGGAGGAGGAGGAGGUGAUUUGUACUUGUAGAUCGGUGGGGGUGGCGGUGGUGACUUGUACUUGUAUGGCUCCUUGGGAGGAGGAGGAGACUCGUACUUAUAUACAUGAGGGGGUGGAGGAGGAGACUUGUACUUGUAUGGCUCCUUAGG
Hibiscus syriacus is the source of this 314-nucleotide long non-coding RNA. RefSeq lists it as uncharacterized. The transcript has 4 exons. Lineage: Eukaryota; Viridiplantae; Streptophyta; Magnoliopsida; Malvales; Malvaceae. The record is from RefSeq and is a predicted model, not a curated record.